AUAUUAACAAUUUUUCUCAUUCAUAUACAAUUAUUAGUAUUUUCUGUUUUUGUAAAAAAUAUAACAGUUCAUUAGAAUUGCAUAAGUUGUUUAUAUAGAAUAAAAUGCAAACUCUUUGUCAAGUUUUUCAUAGCUCACCACUGCAUGUAAUCCACAAACAGGAUAGGUCUACAAAUUACAUUAGUAGCAAAUAUGUGUUCUAUAACCAAACAUAGGGAAGAUUUUGCAAUGUUGAUUACAACUAAAACCAUAUUAUUUACAGAUGCUGCAAUAUAAAUUUUGCAAUCGUAUGCAUGGAAGACAAUUCUUCCACUAUCUAGUGGUGAAGCAUUUGUUGGAUAGGUACGUUUGUGUACUGGACAUGGAAAAUUGUCAUGCUGUUACUGAAUAGAAAUUAUAUUUACUUGAACAUUUUAUAUGCCAUUUCACUGAUAAAGGUACAUGGGUCCUUUUUUUCUACAGAAACACUGUAAAAGAAGAUGACUCAAUGUUGUUCAGAUGACCAUGAGAUCAUUGACCAUACACUCCGUAAUCUUUUGCUUUUGGAAUGUGCUUUAGACUAUAUUUAUAUGCUCCUAUUGCUAAUAAUAUCAAAACUCCAAGACUGCAUUAUAGCUCCUUUGAUGACCAUCAGCAGGGAAAUUUUACUAUGUUUGUGAAUAGAAUUGUGAUACCCGGUCGAUAUGUGUCCUGUACCAACAGGAACACACAAUGACCUUUAUGGUAUUAUGUCAAAUUUGAUGAACUUUUAUUUCAUUUCAUGUAGUAAUCAUUUUUUAUCUGUAAUAUGUUACAGAAUAAAACAUUUUAAAACUUACAAA
Molecule: long non-coding RNA, 821 nt
Organism: Stegodyphus dumicola
Lineage: Eukaryota; Metazoa; Arthropoda; Arachnida; Araneae; Eresidae
Source: RefSeq, a predicted model, not a curated record